Long non-coding RNA from Gorilla gorilla gorilla (western lowland gorilla), 499 nucleotides. RefSeq lists it as uncharacterized. The transcript has 3 exons. The record is from RefSeq and is a predicted model, not a curated record. NCBI's taxonomy places the organism in Eukaryota, Metazoa, Chordata, Mammalia, Primates, Hominidae.
GCAGGGCAUGGCCUGCAUUCCAAAUUUUGUUAUUCUCAAAGGUCAAUUGUUCUCACUGGCAGACAACAGAAGCCAAGACUUGCUAAGUAAAACAGAAGACAAAUUUGCUGGAAGGACAUGUGAAAAUGGGCACAAAUUAGGGAGCAAGGUCAUACUUGCAUCACUGCUGUUAGGCUGCUACCACUGACUCCUCUGCUCCUGCACUCCCAACAGCACCAUCAAGAAAAACCCCACACACAGUUCCUUCAUCUUUGCCUUACUUGCUGAAGAUUAGAAGUCCCAGACAUAUCAGGAAUACUGAGACAACUAUUACUACAAAACUCUAUAAUUCACAAGAACACUUGCAGAUACAAACUAGGAUACUGGAUGGCAUGCAGAAUCUUUGGAAGAACAACCAGAUUGCCAGGCAACACAGCUAGAAAAGUGCCCCAAAUCUCACCACAGAACAGAUUUAAUGAAAAUCGCACUUCUGCACUGCUGGGCCAUUAUUACUAUGACC